GCACAACGCGAAGAACCUUACCAAGGCUUGACAUACACGAGAACACCGUAGAAAUACGGGACUCUUUGGACACUCGUGAACAGGUGGUGCAUGGUUGUCGUCAGCUCGUGUCGUGAGAUGUUGGGUUAAGUCCCGCAACGAGCGCAACCCUCGUUCUAUGUUGCCAGCACGUAGUGGUGGGAACUCAUGGGAUACUGCCGGGGUCAACUCGGAGGAAGGUGGGGAUGACGUCAAAUCAUCAUGCCCCUUAUGUCUUGGGCUUCACGCAUGCUACAACGGCCGGUACAAAGGGCUGCAAUACCGCGAGGUGGAGCGAUACCCAAAAAGCCGGUCCCAGUUCGGAUUGAGGUCUGCAACUCGACCUCAUGAAGUCGGAGUCGCUAGUAAUCGCAGAUCAGCAACGCUGCGGUGAAUACGUUCCGGGUCUUGUACACACCG
RNAcentral lists this ribosomal RNA (438 nucleotides) under uncultured bacterium. RNAcentral describes it as "bacterial SSU rRNA". It matches the Rfam family "Bacterial small subunit ribosomal RNA", at positions 954 to 1392 of the family's 1533-position model. The record is from RNAcentral.